AGUCUGACGGUGACUUGACCUUGGACUUUCCAGCUUCCAGAAAAGAGAGUGGUAGAGGCACAGAAGAUGAUGAGGCUGUUGAACUGUGGAGGCAUAGAUUAGAGUGACGUGGUCACAAGCCAAGGAACACCUGAAGCCACCAACAGCUUGAAAAACAAGGAAAGCUUUCUCUCCUGCAACCAUUGGAGGGACCCUGGCCCAGCUGGCACUUUGAUUUCAGCCCAGUGAAAGUGAUUUUGAGCUUCUGACCCCCAGAACUAUGAGAGGAAAAUUUUUGUUGUUUUUAUGCUCCCCCAGUUUGUGGUAAUUUGCUACUGCAUCUCCAGGAAACUACUGCACUUUGUACUGAAACAAAUGUAAAAAUAGAUUGUAAAUAUAAAAUAAACCAACCAUAAGAGAA
This 400-nucleotide long non-coding RNA is filed under the name Homo sapiens (human). RNAcentral describes it as "non-protein coding lnc-SSPN-6:4". The record is from RNAcentral. Lineage: Eukaryota; Metazoa; Chordata; Mammalia; Primates; Hominidae.